GUAGGUGAACCUGCGGAGGGAUCAUUACAGAGUUUUUAACUCCUAAAACCAUGUGAACUUACCACUGUUGCCUCGGUGGAAGGUAUCCGAAAGGGUGCUGGAAGCCGGCGGACAUCUAAACUCUUGUUAAUUUUUGUUAUUCUGAAUCAAACUAAGAAAUAAGUUAAAACUUUCAACAACGGAUCUCUUGGUUCUGGCAUCGAUGAAGAACGCAGCAUCUGACUGACUCGACAGCUGACAAUCUCGUAUG
This 250-nucleotide unclassified non-coding RNA is filed under the name plant metagenome. RNAcentral's name for it is "partial contains small subunit ribosomal RNA, internal transcribed spacer 1, and 5.8S ribosomal RNA". The record is from RNAcentral.